This 484-nucleotide ribosomal RNA is filed under the name uncultured bacterium. Its description in RNAcentral is "partial 16S ribosomal RNA". It matches the Rfam family "Bacterial small subunit ribosomal RNA", at positions 29 to 507 of the family's 1533-position model. The record is from RNAcentral.
AUUGAACGCUGGCGGCAGGCCUAACACAUGCAAGUCGAGCGGAUGAAGGGAGCUUGCUCCUGGCUUCAGCGGCGGACGGGUGAGUAAUACCUAGGAAUCUGCCUGGUAGCGGGGGAUAACGUCCGGAAACGGGCGCUAAUACCGCAUACGUCCUGAGGGAGAAAGUGGGGGAUCUUCGGACAUCACGCUAUCGGAUGAGCCUAGGCCGGUUUGGCUAGUUGGUGGGGUAAAGGCCUACCAAGGCGACGAUCCGUACCCGGUCUGCGAGGGUGAUCAGCCACAUGGGAACUUGAACACGGUCCAGGGGCCUGCGAGAGGGAGCAGUGGGGAAUAUGGGACAGUGGGCGAAAGCCUGACCCAGCCAGGGCGAGUGUGUGAAGGAGGUCUUGGGAUUGUAAAGAACGUUAAGUGGGGAGGAAGGGCUUUAAGUUAAGACCUUGCGGGUUUGACGGUACCGGCAGAAUAAGCACCGGCUAACUACGUG